CUGGCGGGUGAGCUGUGAAGUAUCUAUCAGUAGGCCCAAAACCUCUAACGUACAAUAACAAAAACAUUGAAAUGUUAACAGAAAUUCGGUUGGUUUUAUUUAUCGACUGCUUAACUUCCAUGACGGGAUUGAAUUUUGAUUACUAGUAUUUGGGAAGAUGAACAAGAAAGGCCUCGCCAUUUUAAUGCGUACUAAAAUGCGGCCUCUCCCCCCAGCGGCUAUUAAGAGAGUCAAUCAAAUGGAAGUUCCUCCUCAAGAAAAUUCUAACGUGGUUUCUUCUACUCCUAAUGCCUCCAUUAAUCCCCCAAGGGACUUCGAGCAAGUAAGAGACUCUAUGCACUCUGCUAUAUUAAUGAAUAAGACUGAGAUUUUAGAUGCUGCCCUCAGUGAAUUCUGUGAGGGUUACUUUAGCCUUUCCAAGGAAAAUCGACGGAAAUUAGUUCUCACACUUGCCAGAGAGUAUGAUCUUGACAGAAUACAAGUUAGGGAGCUGAUGAAGCAAUAUCUUGGUCUUGAGCUUCCUAUUGGUGAAAAAGCUCAGCAUAGUAGUGGGCAACAAGAGGAAUUGUCACUUUCAGCAUUUUAUAGAAUUGAGCGGAACUUGAGGCAUGCCCUCAAGCCAAAUUAUGAAGUACUGUUUGAGCGGCUUAAUACUCAUCCUGGAGGGUUGAAGUUCUUGUCCGACAUUCGAGCUGAUAUUCUAUCUUUUCUCGCCGAGGAAAAUUUUCCAUCCUUGCGGGCACUUGAUUCUUACUUGAAAGAGAAGCUUGGUACAUGGCUUAGUCCUGCGAAUCUAGAGCUUCAUAAUAUCACAUGGGAUGAUCCUGCUUCUUUGUUGGAGAAGAUUGUAGCUUAUGAGGCAGUGCAUCCAAUCAGCAGUCUUUUGGACCUGAAAAGAAGGCUGGGGGUAGGCCGCCGCUGUUUCGGAUAUUUACAUCCAGCAAUACCUGGUGAACCCCUCAUAUUCAUAGAAGUUGCAUUAAUGAAGGAUGUGGCCGAGACGAUUCAGGAAGUUCUAUGGGACGAUCCUCCAAUACCUGAAUGUGAAGCAACCUGUGCACUCUUUUACUCUAUAUCAUCUACCCAGCCUGGCUUAUCCGGAAUCAACCUUGGGAAAUUCCUUAUUAAACGUGUAAUUGAUGUUGUGAAGAAGGAUAUGCCGAUUAUAUCUACCUUUGCUACUCUUAGUCCUAUUCCAGGCUACAUGCAGUGGCUUCUAUCAAAAUUGGCAUCAGCAGAGAUAUCUGGUCCUACCUUUAGAGAGAACUUGCUUAAACAAGAAGAAGAGGGGGCACUUGUAGAUGCAGCAGUAGAAUUCAGUUCCAGCAAAAACGGAAUGGAAGUGAUGAAGUACUUGUUGACAUCAACCAAUUAUGAGUGGACAAAGUCAGCUAAGAUAAUUUCGGUUCUAAGACCUCCAAUGAUGCGACUUUGUGCUCGGUACCUUCUGCAAGAGAAGAAGAGGGGGAAAGCUCUAGAUUCUGUGGCAAACUUCCACUUGCAGAAUGGAGCGAUGAUCGGAAGGCUGAAUUGGAUGGCUGAUCGAUCUGAAAAAGGCCUUACUCAGAGUGGAGGGAUUAUGGUCAACUACAUAUAUAGGGUGGAGAACAUUGAAGAAAAUGCUCAGUCAUAUUACAGCAAAGGGCAUAUCCACGCUACCUCAGAUGUCUCUUGCUUUGUUGAGGAUCAUGAACAAACUAGAGAUUAGGAAGCUGUUGCAGGAGUGGUGUGAAAUUUAAUGUUCUACCCUUGUAGUACAGGCUGAGUGAAAUGUAAGUACAUAUAUACCUAGAUUUUUAUGCCUUGGUGAUUCCCGCAUUAAGUUGGCGCAAAACUUAUCCCCAUCAUUCACUGAGUGUCUGCCCAAGAAUUCCAUCAACUCCUCGUAUGCCUCGGGGUUGUAGCUCUGCUCUGUCAAGUGACUGUUAAAAAACAAGAAAAUGGCAUAGAUAUAUUUUUAUGGAUGUAUGUCUAUACCCUAAUCUGUAGCUUCAUUAGAUACAGUGAGCUUCAAAGUUCUGUACUGAUUUGAUGUAGCCAACCGUCUGAUACUAUACUCAAUAGAACAAUAAAAGUGGAGAUAAUGAUUCUGUGAAAAGAAGAGAACCUGCAACUGAGCAGUGACAAUUCGAACAGCAAUGUAUGUGAAGAAAUUAUGGAGGUGCUUCGCUGCUUUUGCUUCUGGUGAUCCUUCUCCGAACCCUGCACCACUCUUCUUUAAUAUUCACAGGCAGAUCCAUAGGUACACUUGCUAGAAACUUUUACAAGAGGGUGACUACCCACCUGGAACAUACAUCUUUUGACAAUGGAAGCGAGUUGGCUGAGAAGUUCUUUGCUUCCAUGGCCUGAAGGGACAGGCUCUGGUUUCCCUGCAAGCUUGUGUUGGAGAAACUGCGAGCCUUGAGAGGGGGACGGUGGCGAAGGAUUCCAUAAUAUGGCUCAUCUUAACUGUACUGUGUAAUCUGUGGCAACUGCCAGUGAGAAUUGAAGGAAAAGAGCAGAAGUAGAUGUUUUUGUCCAAUGACUAGCAAGCGGCAAGACACCUUGAGAAGCCUUUAGUGAAGAGAUAAUAAUAAUAUCUUUACUUCCAUGUUGAAAUAUCUUCAGGUAUAUGUGGCAAGAAGCCUGAAAUUUUGUCAUGGAUCAUUUGUCCAUCUUUAAGGGUGGAUCCCACCCAUUCUAUUGUCUCUUUUAUACGUAUGUGUAUGCAUCUGGCCCUCGUAUUAUUGAAUAACCAAGUCUGGAAUAUUCC
Non-coding RNA from Coffea arabica (coffee), 2752 nucleotides. NCBI's taxonomy places the organism in Eukaryota, Viridiplantae, Streptophyta, Magnoliopsida, Gentianales, Rubiaceae. The record is from RefSeq and is a predicted model, not a curated record.